RNAcentral lists this ribosomal RNA (483 nucleotides) under uncultured bacterium. RNAcentral describes it as "partial 16S ribosomal RNA". It matches the Rfam family "Bacterial small subunit ribosomal RNA", at positions 28 to 523 of the family's 1533-position model. The record is from RNAcentral.
GACGAACGCUGGCGGCGUGCUUUACACAUGCAAGUCGAACGGUGAAGGUGGAGCUUGCUCCGCCGGAUCAGUGGCGAAUGGGUGAGUAACACGUGGGCAACCUGCCCCUAACUUUGGGAUAACUACUCGAAAGAGUAGCUAAUACCGGAUACGAAGUCUGUAGGCAUCUACGGAUUUGGAAAGUUUUUCGGUUAGGGAUGGGCCCGCGGCCUAUCAGCUUGUUGGUGAGGUAGUGGCUCACCAAGGCGACGACGGGUAGCCGGCCUGAGAGGGCGACCGGCGACACUGGGACUAAGACACGGCCCAGACGCCUACGGGGGGCAGCAGUGGGGAAUAUUGCGCAAGAGGCGAAAGCCUGACGCAGCAACGCCGCGUGCGGGAUGAAGGCCUUCGGGUUGUAAACCGCUUUCAGCAGGGAAGAAGCGAAAGUGACGGUACCUGCAGAAGAAGCACCGGCUAACUACGUGCCAGCCGCCGCAGUAA